GGGGGCGCAAAGGUUUCGACGUUGGUGUUGAAGUUUUAUGUGCAUGUCGAGAUUCAGAGUUCUCGUUAAUAAAUCUGAAUAAAAUUUAGUUGCAAAUAAUAACAACUACGCUCUAGCUGCAUAAACCAGCUGGCAUUGAUGGAAUCUCACUUGGAGGACUUUAUCAAUGACGAUUAUCCAAGUUCGUCAAGACAAUUUGCUCUAAUCGUCUUGAUUAAAUAAAAAUAAGAGCUCGUGUUUAAAGAUACCUUCCUUUCGGUGCUUUAAAUAUAAAACUAAAGAAAGUGAUAAGCAUGUAGAUCAUAAUAUGGAUAGCUAGCGGACGCGGGUUCGAUUCCCGCCGCCUCCAC
This 350-nucleotide transfer-messenger RNA is filed under the name marine eukaryotic metagenome. It matches the Rfam family "transfer-messenger RNA". From Rfam's summary of the family: Bacterial tmRNA, also known as 10Sa RNA or SsrA, is named for its dual tRNA and mRNA-like properties. Its role is to liberate the mRNA from a stalled ribosome. The record is from RNAcentral.